Molecule: long non-coding RNA, 2098 nt
Organism: Astyanax mexicanus (Mexican tetra)
Lineage: Eukaryota; Metazoa; Chordata; Actinopteri; Characiformes; Acestrorhamphidae
Exons: 4
Source: RefSeq, a predicted model, not a curated record
AUGGCCAUCUUCAACAUUUUCUGAGAUUUCUAAUUUGUCUUUUUCUACUUGUGCAGAUGGAGUCAUGAAAUGUGACGGGACAGCCACCGAGGACUUCAUACUUCGGAGCAUCUCAAACAUGCACCACAAAGACGUGGAGGACACACCGCUGUCUCUCAGGACCUAGAAUCUUAAUGAAAGUAUAAUGAUGUUAAGGGAAGGUGUAAUGUAAAGUUGUAAUGGUGUUAAGGGAAGGUGUAGUGGAAAGGUGUGAUAGUGUUGAGGGAAGGUGUAAUGUUAAAGGUGUAAUAGUGUUGAGGGAAGGGGUAAUGUUAAAGGUGUAAUAGUGUUAAGGGAAGGUAUAAUAUUGUUAAGGGAAGGUGUAAUGCAGGGGUCUCAAACUCAUUUUUGCCGAGGGCCACAUUGACAUAUUGGCUGUCCUCUGAGGGCCAGAUGUAACUUACAAAUAUAAGAAAAUGUAACCAGAUGUAAUAUAAAAUGAAUGUAAUUACUCCUUAAUGUUAAAUAACUCUCAAUAUACUAUUUAUUCAAUCAAAUAUUACAGGUGCAUGGAAAAAUGUUUGCUUGUUGCUCUAUUAACAUAAAUCCUUUUAAUUUGUCAUGUUAUGAAAUCCAAAAACUCCAUCAAUCAAGAACCAAACUAGUCAAGUGAAUAGAAAUUACAUCAAGUACAAGUUAUAUUAACUUUGAUCAAAACGUUUGAUACUGAAAUAAGGCUUAAUAAAUAUAAAAUCAAAAAUUGUGAGCUGUGACAGAUUUAGCAUUUCCUCAGAUUUAGCAGUUCCUCAUCCAACCACUAGUCGGAGCUGCAGCUGCAGCACCACAAGCCCGCAGUCUUUGCUUAGUCAGAGCUACAGCCCAGCCACGGGCUACAGGACUCAGCUGAGCCAGUCUGGAGCGUUUUGAAAUUUUUUAAGUUCUUCUGUGUAUGAAAUAAAAUAACCCCACUAACCGGAUAAUACAGCUCUCUACAGUUCAUAUUUCAGCCCGAGCAGCUAACAGCAGCAGUUUAGAGCAGCGUUACGGAGUCACUGCUCGGAUUACAUUAUAAACAGGUCAGUUAGCGCGCUGCUAACCUCAGGAUGUUUAUAACUACGGAGUUUAGUGGACACACCACGGCAGCAAGGUUAGACUGUUGAAGGCUACUGAAGACUACUAAAGCAGGCAACGCAGCGUAAGCAAAAAAAAAAAAAAAAAAACCACACACACACACCAAAAUACAAGUUAAGAUAAAAUAUGAAAACGAACAUAAUAAAGCAUAAGUAAUUAAAUUGAAUUGCGGGCCAGAUGUAUGUUUAUUUUGUUAACCCGUGAGGGGCCGUAUGAAACCGCGUGGGCCGGUACUUUGAGACCCCUGGUGUAAUAGUGUUGAGGGAAGGUAUAAUAUUGUUAAGGGAAGGUGUAAUGUAAAGCUGUAAUAGUUUUAAGGGAAGGUAAAUGUUUAGUGAAAUUGUUAUGGUGUGAAUCUAAGGUGUAUAUUAUGUUGAUGUAAAAUAAAGGCAUUAACCCCAAAUGAGAUUUACUCAUUAUGUUUAUUAUUAUAUUAAUGUUUCCCCAAACAGAAAGGGUCAAUUUAAAAUCAACAGUGGUAAGAUGGGGGUAAUUAAUUUAUUCCUUGCUUUUACUGGUUCUUUGCAGGUUGACAUGUUUUGAAAAAAGUGAGAGGGUUGAAAUGCAAUUUAUUUGUAAAGCAUAUUGUGUAUAACUAACGUGCAUAACUAGUUCCAGAAGGUUGUGAACCUGUUCCAGUAAUUGUUUGGCUUAGCUUUGUAUGCGUUUCCAGUUAACUGCUGAAGCUGGAACAAUGGAACAGUUGCCACCGUCUGAAAUGGCACUACAGUUAUGCAGGGAGCCUCAAAGUAGUUGGUCUAUAAAACGUAUACAUGUAAAUUUCACGUAGAAAAGACGUCCACAACGACUUAAUUUAAACUAGAAUUAGCCCUUAUCCGGAGGUCUGGGGGACGUCAAUACUGGACGUGCAGAAGACGUCAGAAAAAAGACGUCGUCUGGCGUCACAGUCUGCACCUUCAGGAGACCAAAAUUGGACGUGCAAAAAUGACCUAGAAAAGACGUCGUUUCAACGUCUCUUUGUUUAGUG